GAUCUUUCGCUAUCAUCAUAUAUAGACACAUCAGAACUCGUUAAAGCUUAGAGACAAGAACGAGGUACCAGCUGAUGAGCAAUUUUGACCAGAAAAUCACUUAAUUUACCGGCUGCUUUAAGCUAAGCACUACCGAGGCUACUCACGAGGGCGACAUGCGUACAAGAACAUGAUGAUGACAGUGUGAUCACUUUAUUUUCUUUUUCACUCGCCUUUUGCCAACUUUUUCUUCCUCCUUUCUUCUAGCUCCCGGCCUUUUCCUUUCACCGUCUUUCUUGCCUGUGUUACUUUCUUUGUGUUACCGAUCCAAAUGACAAAAGCCGAGCAAUAGAGCCGUGCAUUACGGUGAGUGAAAAAGAAGCUUAAAGCAGUAAACUAGACCAAAAGUUCAGCACGGAUUAAGCUUUUGUGUAUAAUUCUUAAAUAUUUCACUUUAUCUUUAGUAUUUGCUCAUGUGUUAGUCAUUGCUACGGCAGUAUUAUUCAGUCUAUGCAUAGUACGGUGGACCGGUGGUAUAUAUACAACAUAUGCUAUACCGCACCUCUUCCUCUGAUAAAAUAAACCAUGUUGCUAAAUGAAUUAUAAGCUAGUACUCCCUCCACCCC
This 605-nucleotide long non-coding RNA is filed under the name Setaria viridis. RNAcentral describes it as "long non-coding RNA (SVIR_LNC009036)". Lineage: Eukaryota; Viridiplantae; Streptophyta; Magnoliopsida; Poales; Poaceae. The record is from RNAcentral.